Long non-coding RNA from Micropterus dolomieu (smallmouth bass), 657 nucleotides. RefSeq lists it as uncharacterized. The record is from RefSeq and is a predicted model, not a curated record. The transcript has 3 exons. Lineage: Eukaryota; Metazoa; Chordata; Actinopteri; Centrarchiformes; Centrarchidae.
UCCAGCGCAGCAGGACAGAUGAAGCAUCACCAGAUCGUCACUUCAAGACCCGUGGUUUUCAGUCAUGUGCCACGCAGAGCCAUAUUAUACUAGGACACGAGCCUGUUUCACUUUUUAUUAGAGAAUGUGCCGUGAGUGAAAUUGGCCUUUGCGUUUUUGAACGUCUUCGUGGCACAUGAGUGACAAAUGCUGGACUAGACAAGAAAGAUUCAAAAAGUGGAAGGAGUCCCAGUGCGUCCUCAAAAGCAACACCUACCAGUGGUGAUGCUGGUCUCCAGUGGCCAAAUGGCUGCAACCCAAGAACCUGCCGGUGGACAUGAAUGUUGAGUGAGGCAGUCCAGCUGAGGAAGGAGGUGUUUAAAGCCUGUUUGAAAAUCAAAAGAAAGGUAUCCCAUCAAAGAGGCCGCAGGGGUGUGAGGUGCCAGGGUCCCUGCUAUGAGCCUUCAGUCCUUUUACCCUAAGGGAGAGAAAGCUGUGUUCACUCUCCUGGCUUCAAGUGAACCCUAAACCCAGCAAUCCCCCAGGAACAUCUGGAAUAAGUUGGAGGAAGUUUCCAGGAGGAAGUCAGUUAGUCUACUCUGACCUGAAUAAAUGUCUGGUGGUUGGGUGGAUGCAUGGAAAAUUAAUUUUACAGCCACAUAAUGAGGAUUUCUCAGU